This 423-nucleotide ribosomal RNA is filed under the name uncultured Gammaproteobacteria bacterium. RNAcentral describes it as "bacterial SSU rRNA". It matches the Rfam family "Bacterial small subunit ribosomal RNA", at positions 9 to 429 of the family's 1533-position model. The record is from RNAcentral. Lineage: Bacteria; Pseudomonadati; Pseudomonadota; Gammaproteobacteria.
GAGUUUGAUCUUGGCUCAGAGUGAACGCUGGCGGCAGGCCUAACACAUGCAAGUCGAACGGCAGCACAGAGGAGCUUGCUCCUUGGGUGGCGAGUGGCGGACGGGUGAGGAAUGCAUCGGAAUCUGCCUAUUUGUGGGGGAUAACGUAGGGAAACUUACGCUAAUACCGCAUACGUCCUACGGGAGAAAGUGGGGGACCUUCGGGCCUCACGCAGAUAGAUGAGCCGAUGCCGGAUUAGCUAGUUGGCGGGGUAAAGGCCCACCAAGGCGACGAUCCGUAGCUGGUCUGAGAGGAUGAUCAGCCACACUGGAACUGAGACACGGUCCAGACUCCUACGGGAGGCAGCAGUGGGGAAUAUUGGACAAUGGGCGCAAGCCUGAUCCAGCCAUGCCGCGUGUGUGAAGAAGGCCUUCGGUUGUAAG